GUGAAAUUCCGUCGGAAUCUGGGAGGACCAUCUCCUAAGGCUAAAUACUCUCUAGUGACCGAUAGUGAACCAGUACCGUGAGGGAAAGGUGAAAAGCACCCCGGAAGGGGAGUGAAAUAGAACCUGAAACCGUGUGCUUACAAGUAGUCAGAGCCCGUUAAUGGGUGAUGGCGUGCCUUUUGUAGAAUGAACCGGCGAGUUACGAUUUGAUGCAAGGUUAAGCAGUAAAUGUGGAGCCGUAGCGAAAGCGAGUCUGAAUAGGGCGUUUAGUAUUUGGUCGUAGACCCGAAACCAGGUGAUCUACCCUUGGUCAGGUUGAAGUUCAGGUAACACUGAAUGGAGGACCGAACCGACUUACGUUGAAAAGUGAGCGGAUGAACUGAGGGUAGCGGAGAAAUUCCAAUCGAACCUGGAGAUAGCUGGUUCUCUCCGAAAUAGCUUUAGGGCUAGCCUCAAGUGAUGAUUAUUGGAGGUAGAGCACUGUUUGGACGAGGGGCCCCUCUCGGGUUACCGAAUUCAGACAAACUCCGAAUGCCAAUUAAUUUAACUUGGGAGUCAGAACAUGGGUGAUAAGGUCCGUGUUCGAAAGGGAAACAGCCCAGACCACCAGCUAAGGUCCCAAAAUAUAUGUUAAGUGGAAAAGGAUGUGGCGUUGCCCAGACAACUAGGAUGUUGGCUUAGAAGCAGCCAUCAUUUAAAGAGUGCGUAAUAGCUCACUAGUCGAGUGACACUGCGCCGAAAAUGUACCGGGGCUAAACAUAUUACCGAAGCUGUGGAUUGUCCUUUGGACAAUGGUAGGAGAGCGUUCUAAGGGCGUUGAAGCAUGAUCGUAAGGACAUGUGGAGCGCUUAGAAGUGAGAAUGCCGGUGUGAGUAGCGAAAGACGGGUGAGAAUCCCGUCCACCGAUUGACUAAGGUUUCCAGAGGAAGGCUCGUCCGCUCUGGGUUAGUCGGGUCCUAAGCUGAGGCCGACAGGCGUAGGCGAUGGAUAACAGGUUGAUAUUCCUGUACCACCUAUAAUCGUUUUAAUCGAUGGGGGGACGCAGUAGGAUAGGCGAAGCGUGCGAUUGGAUUGCACGUCUAAGCAGUAAGGCUGAGUAUUAGGCAAAUCCGGUACUCGUUAAGGCUGA
RNAcentral lists this ribosomal RNA (1129 nucleotides) under Staphylococcus aureus. RNAcentral describes it as "partial 23S ribosomal RNA". It matches the Rfam family "Bacterial large subunit ribosomal RNA", at positions 426 to 1559 of the family's 2925-position model. Lineage: Bacteria; Bacillati; Bacillota; Bacilli; Caryophanales; Staphylococcaceae. The record is from RNAcentral.